UACAGAGGGGGCAAGCGUUAUUCGGAAUUAUUGGGCGUAAAGGGCGCGUAGGCGGCCUGGCAAGUGGAUGGUGAAAUCCCUCGGCUUAACCGAGGAACUGCCAUCCAGACUGCUUGGCUUGAGACCGGGAGAGGUGAGUGGAAUUCCCAGUGUAGCGGUGAAAUGCGUAGAUAUUGGGAGGAACACCAGUGGCGAAGGCGGCUCACUGGACCGGUACUGACGCUGAUGCGCGAAAGCGUGGGGGAGCAAACGGG
Molecule: ribosomal RNA, 254 nt
Filed under: uncultured bacterium
Lineage: Bacteria
Description: partial 16S ribosomal RNA
Rfam family: Bacterial small subunit ribosomal RNA
Source: RNAcentral